This 865-nucleotide ribosomal RNA is filed under the name uncultured euryarchaeote. RNAcentral describes it as "bacterial SSU rRNA". It matches the Rfam family "Archaeal small subunit ribosomal RNA", at positions 51 to 923 of the family's 1478-position model. The record is from RNAcentral. Lineage: Archaea; Methanobacteriati; Methanobacteriota.
AUGCGAGCUGAGAGUCUUGAGACCGCGGCAGACUGCUCCGUAACACGUGGAUAACCUACCCUUGAGAGGGGAAUAAUUUCGGGAAACUGAAGCUAAUGCCCCAUAGGUGAAUAGCGCUGGAAUGCCUUUUCACUCUAGCCCCGGCGCUCAAGGAUGGGUCUGUGGCCUAUCAGGCUGUUGUUGGGGUAACGAACCGACAAACCUAUAACGGGUACGGGCUAUGGAAGUAGGAGCCCGGAAAUGGAUUCUGAAACACGAAUCCAGGCCCUACGGUGUGCACCAGGCGCGAAAACUUUACAAUGCAUUAACGUGCGAUAGGGGAAUCCGGAGUGAUCCAGCACAGCUGGAUCUUUUGCUCAUUCUAAAUGGAUGGGCGAAUAAGGGCUGGGCAAUACUGGUGCCAGCCGCCGCGGUAAUACCUGAGGCCCGAGUGAUGACCCCUAUUAUUGGGUCUAAAGCGUCCGUAGCCGGUUUGGUAAGUUCCUGGUGAAAUCGCCCGGUAGACUGGACGGCKUGCUGGGAAUACUACUAAACUUGAGACCGGGAGAGGGUGGGGGUACUUAUGGGGUAGGGGUUAAAUCCUGUAAUCCCGUGAGAACCACCUGUGGCGAAGGCGCCCACCUGGAACGGGUCUGACGGUGAGGGACGAAAGCUGGGGGAGCGACCGGAAUAAAAUACCCCGUUAGUCCACGCCGUAAACGAUGCCCGCUUGAUGUUGCCGGCUUCGUGGGAGUCGGCUGUGUCGUAGCGUACGUGUUAAGCGGGCCACCUGGAGAGUACGUCUGCAUGGCUGAACCUUAAAGGAAUUGGCGGGAGAGCACCACAAGGGGUGAAGCUUGCGGUUCAAUUGGAUUCAACGCCGGAA